AACGCACAUUGCGCCCGGCAGUAAUCUGCCGGGCAUGCCUGUCCGAGCGUCAUUUCACCCCUCGAGCCGCUUUUAGUGGAUCGGUGUUGGGGCACUACGGUAAAACGUAGGCCCCGAAAUGAAGUGGCGGUCCCGCCGCGGUGCCCCCAUGCGUAGUAACGUUUAGUCUCGCAUCGGGUCCCGGCGGAGGCCUGCCGUCAAGCCUAUUUAUUCUCAGAAUAGUUUGACCUCGGAUCAGGUAGGGUUACCCGCUGAACUUAA
RNAcentral lists this unclassified non-coding RNA (261 nucleotides) under uncultured Ascomycota. Its description in RNAcentral is "sequence contains ITS2". The record is from RNAcentral. RNAcentral also lists the same sequence under 1 other name. Lineage: Eukaryota; Fungi; Ascomycota.